UUGGGGAAAAUUUAAUUAAUUGAUAAUUUAAUAAAAAAAUUUUUAAAAAUAUAUUUUAAUGGGGGUUAAAGUAUAUAUAAUAGAAAAAAUUUUUGAUUUUAUAGUAAAUUAGUAUUGUAAAAGAAUAUUGAAAUAUAAAUGAAAUAUUAAUUAUUUUAAAAGUAAUUUUAAUUUAUUGUAUCUUGUGUAUCAGAGUUUAUUAAUAAUAAUUUUUAUAUAAAAAAGUCUCGAAUUUAAAAGAGAUAAUUAAUUAAGAAAGUUGUUGUUUCAUAAAUAUUUUUAAUAAUUAAUUUGAAAUGAAAUGUUAUUCGUUUUUAAAUAUAUCUAGUUUUUUUAGAAAUAAAUUUAAUUUAGAAUUUUUUUUUUAGAAAAGUCUAUUGAUUGAUUUUUCUAAAAAAAAAUUUAAUAUUUUAGGGGAUAAUCUUUAAAUUAAAAUUUUAUAAUUAAUUUUUUUUUUUAUUAAAAUUUUUAAAAUUUAUAUUGUUUAUAAAUUAUAUUUUUUUGUAAAAAAUUUUAAUUUAAAAUAAAAUUUUAAAUUUAUUUAAAUUUUUAUAAAAAAAUAAAUUUUAAAAAAAAAAAUUUAGAUAUAAUGAUAAAAUUAGUAUAAUUUAAUGUUAAAAUUUAAAAAGUUUUAAUGAAUUUAUAAAAAUAUUAUUAAUUGAAAAUUAAUAAAAAGGAAUUCGGCAAACAUUUAUAUUCACUUGUUUAUCAAAAACAUGUCUUUUAGUUAAUAAUUUAAAGUCGAAUCUGCCCACUGAUUUAAAUAAAAUUAAAGGGCUGCAGUAUAUUGACUGUACAAAGGUAGCAUAAUCAUUAGUCUUUUAAUUGAAGACUUGUAGUCUUUUAAUUGAAGACUUGUAUGAAGGAUUUGAUGAAAUAUAAACUGUCUCUUUUUUAUAAUUAAAAUUUAAUUUUUUAGUUAAAAAGCUAAAAUAAAUUUAAAAGACGAGAAGACCCUAUAGAGUUUUAUAUUUUUUUAUAUUUAAAAUUUUAUGUUAAAUUUAAAAUGAAAAUUAAUUUAAUUAUUUUGUUGGGGUGAUAAAAAAAUUAAAUAAACUUUUUUAUUUUUAAACAUUAAUUAGUGAAUUUAUGAUCCAUAAAUUAUGAUUAAAAGAGAAAAUUACCUUAGGGAUAACAGCGUAAUUUUUUUUUUUAGCUCAAAUAAGAAAAAAAGUUUGCGACCUCGAUGUUGGAUUAAGAUAAAAUUUGAAUGUAGAAGUUUGAAAUUUUGAUCUGUUCGAUCAUUAAAAUCUUACAUGAUCUGAGUUCAAACCGGUGUAAGCCAGGUUGGUUUCUAUCUUUAGAGAAUUAAAAUAUUUUAGUACGAAAGGAUCAAAUAUUUAAAAUAAUUUUUAAAUUAGUGAAUUUUAUUAAUUUUAUAUAAAUUUUAAAUGAAU
This 1397-nucleotide ribosomal RNA is filed under the name Leptalina unicolor. RNAcentral describes it as "16S ribosomal RNA". Lineage: Eukaryota; Metazoa; Arthropoda; Insecta; Lepidoptera; Hesperiidae. The record is from RNAcentral.